This 273-nucleotide ribosomal RNA is filed under the name uncultured bacterium. RNAcentral's name for it is "partial 16S ribosomal RNA". It matches the Rfam family "Bacterial small subunit ribosomal RNA", at positions 524 to 796 of the family's 1533-position model. The record is from RNAcentral.
AACGUAGGGGACAAGCGUUAUCCGGAUUUACUGGGCGUAAAGCGCCCGUAGGCGGCUAAGUAAGUUGGACGUGAAAGCUCCCGGCUUAACUGGGAGAGGCCGUUCAAAACUGUUUAGCUAGAGUGAGGCAGAGGAGCGUGGAAUUCCCGGUGUAGUGGUGGAAUGCGUAGAGAUCGGGAGGAACACCAGUGGCGAAAGCGGCGCUCUGGGCCUAAACUGACGCUGAGGGGCGAAAGCGUGGGGAGCGAACGGGAUUAGAAACCCCAGUAGUCC